UAACAAUCACCAAGAUCGCGAGGCCGUUCCAAUUAUUUCUAUAGUCAAAUCGAGCGUACCUUUCGUAAACCUCGGCGACGUUUUCAAGCGCUUCAAUCACGACGGACUUGUGCUGAAAUAACAGCCAGCAGUUUCGAUACAGGAAAAAGCCAUAAAAUACGGAAGCGGCGGAUCCUUUGAUGGAAAAAAAGACAACUGUAGCCAAUCAUGUGAGGAACCUUGAUCCCAUCAGGAGGUUUAACUUCGCCUUCUUCUCACCUUAAAAGAUCAUACAAAAUAGCGUCCGUCGACAAAAAAGCAAGGAAAUAAAUGCACGAAAAGCCGAAUAAGAUUCUCGGAGUUUUUCGUCCACAAAAGAUAGGAUGACACAACCGUGAAACGGCCGAGAUGGAAAAACGCGUCGAAGAAUACUGCCCGCAUAGGUUGUUCCAUUGUCCGCCCUUUGCCAGUUAAAUGAUGAACGUUCACCAUGCAAAGAAAUUCGUCCGAGCUAUUGUCGAAGAAACUUUUCCGUCGUAAAUCAGCGGAGGCUUUUUCGUAGCGUUUCGAACGCUUUUACGCGCGAGACUCACCUGGUCGCAAUCAGAUGGAGAUAUAUUUUGCGCUCGGUUCAUUAACCGAUUCAACGCCUCAGCGUGGAAUUCCCUGGACGAUGACGCAACACAUAAAACUCGUGGUCUCCCGUACAGCCCAGAGACGAGUGCUGAUUAACGCAAUGUAAUUUUCGGUCUGGUAAUUACUCCAAUUACCAGCUGACCUUAAGGUUAAACGGCUAUACUUGACCAUCAUCCGGGCCUGUUGGCACGCCGAGUUCUCUCGGUCUUCGAUGUUUUACUCUCUUUUAACAGACCACGUCACUAAAUCUGAUGGAUUCGACUUCGAGAAAUUGGAAUAAGUAAUAUGACAUUAUGGAAUUGUGGCUCUGUAUACCCUUCGUCUACUUUGAAGUUUUAGCUUCAA
Molecule: long non-coding RNA, 960 nt
Organism: Venturia canescens
Lineage: Eukaryota; Metazoa; Arthropoda; Insecta; Hymenoptera; Ichneumonidae
Exons: 3
Source: RefSeq, a predicted model, not a curated record